Molecule: ribosomal RNA, 463 nt
Filed under: uncultured bacterium
Lineage: Bacteria
Description: partial 16S ribosomal RNA
Rfam family: Bacterial small subunit ribosomal RNA
Source: RNAcentral
GAUGAACGCUGACAGAAUGCUUAACACAUGCAAGUCGAUGGGGAAGUGGUGCUUGCACCAUGGUAACCAUGGCGGACGGGUGAGUAACGCGUAAGGAACUUGCCUGCGGGACUGGGAUAACAGCAGGAAACUGCUGAUAAUACCGGAUAAGGUCAUUAAGCUGCAUAGCUUAGUGAUGAAAGGAGACGCCUGCGGAGAGCCUUGCGUCCUAUUAGCUAGUUGGAGGGGUAACGGCCCACCAAGGCGAAGAUAGGUAGCCGGCCUGAGAGGGUGGACGGCCACAAGGGGACUGAGAUACGGCCCUUACUCCUACGGGAGGCAGCAGUGGGGAAUAUUGGACAAUGGGGGCAACCCUGAUACAGCAAUUCUGUGUGCACGAAGACGGUUUUCGGAUUGUAAAGUGCUUUCAGCAGGGAAGAAGGAAGUGACGGUACCUGCAGAAGAAGCGACGGCUAAAUACGUG